GGUCGUACGAGAAAUUCCGAUUCGUCGGGAGAGUAAAGUGGCGAACGGGUGAGUAACACUAGGGUAAUCUUCCCUUAAAUAAGGGAUAACGUUGCGAAAGCGACGCUAAUACCUUAUAAGACUACGAUCUCUUAGGAGGUAGUAGGAAAAGAUGGCCUCUGUUUCAAGCUAUCGUUUAAGGAUGAGCCCUAGCACUAUUAGCUAGUUGGUGAGGUAACGGCUCACCAAGGCGACGAUGGUUAGCUGGUCUGAGAGGAUGGCCAGCCACACUGGAACUGAGACACGGUCCAGACUCCUACGGGAGGCAGCAGUGAGGAAUAUUGCGCAAUGGGGGCAACCCUGACGCAGUGACGCCGCGUGAGUGAUGAAGGCUUUCGAGUCGUAAAGCUCUGUUAGGUGGAAAGAGACAUCCCGGCGCUAAUAUCGUCGGGACUUGACGGUACCACCAGAGGAAGCACCGGCUAACUCCGUGCCAGCAGCCGCGGUAAUACGGAGGGUGCAAGCGUUGUUCGGAUUUACUGGGCGUAAAGGGCGUGUAGGCGGUUGGCUAAGUCAGAUGUGAAAUCCCUUGGCUUAACCAAGGAACGGCAUUUGAAACUAGCUAACUAGAGUACAGGAGAGGAAAGUGGAAUUCCCAGUGUAGAGGUGAAAUUCAUAGAUAUUGGGAGGAACACCGGUAGCGAA
This 684-nucleotide ribosomal RNA is filed under the name uncultured bacterium. RNAcentral describes it as "bacterial SSU rRNA". It matches the Rfam family "Bacterial small subunit ribosomal RNA", at positions 60 to 719 of the family's 1533-position model. The record is from RNAcentral.